UACGGAGGGGACUAGCGUUGUUCGGAAUUACUGGGCGUAAAGCGCGCGUAGGCGGAUUUGCAAGUUGGGGGUGAAAGCCCGAGGCUCAACCUCGGAACUGCCCUCGAUACUGUAAAUCUCGAGUCCGAGAGAGGUGAGUGGAAUUCCUAGUGUAGAGGUGAAAUUCGUAGAUAUUAGGAAGAACACCAGUGGCGAAGGCGGCUCACUGGCUCGGUACUGACGCUGAGGCGCGAAAGCGUGGGGAGCAAACAGG
This 253-nucleotide ribosomal RNA is filed under the name uncultured bacterium. Its description in RNAcentral is "partial 16S ribosomal RNA". It matches the Rfam family "Bacterial small subunit ribosomal RNA", at positions 524 to 776 of the family's 1533-position model. The record is from RNAcentral.